CAGACGUGCGUGGCGCGGUUCAGCUCUGGUUCGCCAGAGUGUAUUCCGUGCCUUUGCAGGCCAACAUCGGUUUCACGAGGUGGAUAAAGGUUUGAGGAAUGUGGCACCUUCGGGUGUGUUAUAGUCUCUUACUGAAUACUCCUCGAGGGACCGAGGAACGCAGCGCGCCGCAAGGCAAAGACCCAGGUCUUUUCGCGCUUAGGAUGUUGGUGAAAUGGUCUUAAACGACCCGUCUUGAAACACGGACCAAGGAGUCUAACAUGUGUGCGAGUGUU
Molecule: ribosomal RNA, 275 nt
Filed under: Acaulospora laevis
Lineage: Eukaryota; Fungi; Glomeromycota; Glomeromycetes; Diversisporales; Acaulosporaceae
Source: RNAcentral